CAUAAGAAAUAAUCGCUAGUGUUCGAAAGAACACUCACAAGAUUAAUAACGCGUUUNACGAUAUGCUUUGGGGAGCUGUAAGUAAGCUUUGAUCCAGAGAUUUCCGAAUGGGGAAACCCAGCAUGAGUUAUGUCAUGUUAUCGAUAUGUGAAUACAUAGCAUAUCAGAAGGCACACCCGGAGAACUGAAACAUCUUAGUACCCGGAGGAAGAGAAAGAAAAUUCGAUUCCCUUAGUAGCGGCGAGCGAAACGGGAAGAGCCCAAACCAACAAGCUUGCUUGUUGGGGUUGUAGGACACUCUAUACGGAGUUACAAAGGACGACAUUAGACGAAUCAUCUGGAAAGAUGAAUCAAAGAAGGUAAUAAUCCUGUAGUCGAAAAUGUUGUCUCUCUUGAGUGGAUCCUGAGUACGACGGAGCACGUGAAAUUCCGUCGGAAUCUGGGAGGACCAUCUCCUAAGGCUAAAUACUCUCUAGUGACCGAUAGUGAACCAGUACCGUGAGGGAAAGGUGAAAAGCACCCCGGAAGGGGAGUGAAAUAGAACCUGAAACCGUGUGCUUACAAGUAGUCAGAGCCCGUUAAUGGGUGAUGGCGUGCCUUUUGUAGAAUGAACCGGCGAGUUACGAUUUGAUGCAAGGUUAAGCAGUAAAUGUGGAGCCGUAGCGAAAGCGAGUCUGAAUAGGGCGUUUAGUAUUUGGUCGUAGACCCGAAACCAGGUGAUCUACCCUUGGUCAGGUUGAAGUUCAGGUAACACUGAAUGGAGGACCGAACCGACUUACGUUGAAAAGUGAGCGGAUGAACUGAGGGUAGCGGAGAAAUUCCAAUCGAACCUGGAGAUAGCUGGUUCUCUCCGAAAUAGCUUUAGGGCUAGCCUCAAGUGAUGAUUAUUGGAGGUAGAGCACUGUUUGGACGAGGGGCCCCUCUCGGGUUACCGAAUUCAGACAAACUCCGAAUGCCAAUUAAUUUAACUUGGGAGUCAGAACAUGGGUGAUAAGGUCCGUGUUCGAAAGGGAAACAGCCCAGACCACCAGCUAAGGUCCCAAAAUAUAUGUUAAGUGGAAAAGGAUGUGGCGUUGCCCAGACAACUAGGAUGUUGGCUUAGAAGCAGCCAUCAUUUAAAGAGUGCGUAAUAGCUCACUAGUCGAGUGACACUGCGCCGAAAAUGUACCGGGGCUAAACAUAUUACCGAAGCUGUGGAUUGUCCUUUGGACAAUGGUAGGAGAGCGUUCUAAGGGCGUUGAAGCAUGAUCGUAAGGACAUGUGGAGCGCUUAGAAGUGAGAAUGCCGGUGUGAGUAGCGAAAGACGGGUGAGAAUCCCGUCCACCGAUUGACUAAGGUUUCCAGAGGAAGGCUCGUCCGCUCUGGGUUAGUCGGGUCCUAAGCUGAGGCCGACAGGCGUAGGCGAUGGAUAACAGGUUGAUAUUCCUGUACCACCUAUAAUCGUUUUAAUCGAUGGGGGGACGCAGUAGGAUAGGCGAAGCGUGCGAUUGGAUUGCACGUCUAAGCAGUAAGGCUGAGUAUUAGGCAAAUCCGGUACUCGUUAAGGCUGAGCUGUGAUGGGGAGAAGACAUUGUGUCUUCGAGUCGUUGAUUUCACACUGCCGAGAAAAGCCUCUAGAUAGAAAAUAGGUGCCCGUACCGCAAACCGACACAGGUAGUCAAGAUGAGAAUUCUAAGGUGAGCGAGCGAACUCUCGUUAAGGAACUCGGCAAAAUGACCCCGUAACUUCGGGAGAAGGGGUGCUCUUUAGGGUUAACGCCCAGAAGAGCCGCAGUGAAUAGGCCCAAGCGACUGUUUAUCAAAAACACAGGUCUCUGCUAAACCGUAAGGUGAUGUAUAGGGGCUGACGCCUGCCCGGUGCUGGAAGGUUAAGAGGAGUGGUUAGCUUCUGCGAAGCUACGAAUCGAAGCCCCAGUAAACGGCGGCCGUAACUAUAACGGUCCUAAGGUAGCGAAAUUCCUUGUCGGGUAAGUUCCGACCCGCACGAAAGGCGUAACGAUUUGGGCACUGUCUCAACGAGAGACUCGGUGAAAUCAUAGUACCUGUGAAGAUGCAGGUUACCCGCGACAGGACGGAAAGACCCCGUGGAGCUUUACUGUAGCCUGAUAUUGAAAUUCGGCACAGCUUGUACAGGAUAGGUAGGAGCCUUUGAAACGUGAGCGCUAGCUUACGUGGAGGCGCUGGUGGGAUACUACCCUAGCUGUGUUGGCUUUCUAACCCGCACCACUUAUCGUGGUGGGAGACAGUGUCAGGCGGGCAGUUUGACUGGGGCGGUCGCCUCCUAAAAGGUAACGGAGGCGCUCAAAGGUUCCCUCAGAAUGGUUGGAAAUCAUUCAUAGAGUGUAAAGGCAUAAGGGAGCUUGACUGCGAGACCUACAAGUCGAGCAGGGUCGAAAGACGGACUUAGUGAUCCGGUGGUUCCGCAUGGAAGGGCCAUCGCUCAACGGAUAAAAGCUACCCCGGGGAUAACAGGCUUAUCUCCCCCAAGAGUUCACAUCGACGGGGAGGUUUGGCACCUCGAUGUCGGCUCAUCGCAUCCUGGGGCUGUAGUCGGUCCCAAGGGUUGGGCUGUUCGCCCAUUAAAGCGGUACGCGAGCUGGGUUCAGAACGUCGUGAGACAGUUCGGUCCCUAUCCGUCGUGGGCGUAGGAAAUUUGAGAGGAGCUGUCCUUAGUACGAGAGGACCGGGAUGGACAUACCUCUGGUGUACCAGUUGUCGUGCCAACGGCAUAGCUGGGUAGCUAUGUGUGGACGGGAUAAGUGCUGAAAGCAUCUAAGCAUGAAGCCCCCC
This 2789-nucleotide ribosomal RNA is filed under the name Staphylococcus aureus. RNAcentral's name for it is "bacterial LSU rRNA". It matches the Rfam family "Bacterial large subunit ribosomal RNA". Lineage: Bacteria; Bacillati; Bacillota; Bacilli; Caryophanales; Staphylococcaceae. The record is from RNAcentral.